Molecule: ribosomal RNA, 253 nt
Filed under: uncultured bacterium
Lineage: Bacteria
Description: partial 16S ribosomal RNA
Rfam family: Bacterial small subunit ribosomal RNA
Source: RNAcentral
UACAGAGGUCUCAAGCGUUGUUCGGAAUCACUGGGCGUAAAGGGUGCGUAGGCCGCACGGUAAGUCAGAGGUGAAAUCCCGGAGCUCAACUUCGGAAUUGCCUCCGAUACUGCCGUGCUUGAGGACUGGAGAGGAGAUUGGAAUUCACAGUGGAGCAGUGAAAUGCGUAGAUAUUGUGAGGAACACUAGUGGCGAAGGCGAAUCUCUGGACAGUUCCUGACGCUGAGGCACGAAGGCCAGGGGAGCAAACGGG